Molecule: small RNA, 30 nt
Filed under: Bombyx mori (domestic silkworm)
Lineage: Eukaryota; Metazoa; Arthropoda; Insecta; Lepidoptera; Bombycidae
Description: ovarian small RNA-8757
Source: RNAcentral
UGGCCGUGUGACCCUGCUUUUGGCAGAGCA